GCUUUUAAAGGAUAGCAGCUCAUCCAUUGGUCUUAGGAACCAAAAACUCUUGGUGCAAAUCCAAGUAAAAGCU
Molecule: transfer RNA, 73 nt
Filed under: Misgurnus anguillicaudatus (oriental weatherfish)
Lineage: Eukaryota; Metazoa; Chordata; Actinopteri; Cypriniformes; Cobitidae
Description: tRNA-Leu
Rfam family: tRNA
About the family: Transfer RNA (tRNA) molecules are approximately 80 nucleotides in length. Their secondary structure includes four short double-helical elements and three loops (D, anti-codon, and T loops).
Source: RNAcentral